RNAcentral lists this unclassified non-coding RNA (178 nucleotides) under uncultured fungus. RNAcentral describes it as "sequence contains ITS1, 5.8S rRNA gene". Lineage: Eukaryota; Fungi. The record is from RNAcentral. RNAcentral also lists the same sequence under 1 other name.
UGUAUACCUGGUCGAGCGUAAGCUUGGCCAAACCAUGUGUGAAUCAGUGUUCUCUUCCCGGCGGAAGCUCUUGCAACCCUGGGCUUUAUUGUCUGGGCGAGCUUGGGUAACGGCUGGGGUAUUGCCUCGCAAGAGGUGAAUCAUGUUCAAUAGCAGGGAACUCAAAAGUAACAAAUUA